This 73-nucleotide transfer RNA is filed under the name bacterium. RNAcentral's name for it is "tRNA-Ala". It matches the Rfam family "tRNA". Rfam says of the family: Transfer RNA (tRNA) molecules are approximately 80 nucleotides in length. Their secondary structure includes four short double-helical elements and three loops (D, anti-codon, and T loops). The record is from RNAcentral.
GGGGAUGUAGCUCAAAUGGUAGAGCGCACGCUUAGCAUGCGUGAGGCAGUGGGAUCGAUGCCCACCUUCUCCA